AUGCUGUGAUGACUUCUUAGGACACCUUUGGAUUAGUCAUGAAAAUAAAAGUGAAUUACCUGAGCAAA
Molecule: small nucleolar RNA, 68 nt
Gene: SNORD58
Rfam family: Small nucleolar RNA SNORD58
About the family: snoRNA U58 is found in introns 1, 3 and 6 of the ribosomal protein RPL17 gene in humans.
Source: Ensembl